RNAcentral lists this ribosomal RNA (369 nucleotides) under uncultured Glomus. RNAcentral's name for it is "LSU rRNA". Lineage: Eukaryota; Fungi; Glomeromycota; Glomeromycetes; Glomerales; Glomeraceae. The record is from RNAcentral.
UUGAAAGGGAAACGAUUGAAGUCAGUCGUGCUGGCGCGAAAUCAACCCUCUCGUCGAGAGGUCACAUGGCGUGGCGAGCCUCAAAACCGUCACGAAGCGUGAACUCUUGGCGAAAAGGAGCACUUUCGUGUCCGCUGGUUAACAUCAAUUUCGAACGUCAUAAAAAGGCUGGAGGGAUGUGGCUCCUUCGGGAGUGUUAUAACCUUUAGCGGAAUGUGGUGGUCGGGAUUGAGGAUUGCAACGAAUACCUUUAGGGCUGUUCCACCUGGCUUCUCUUUGGUAUCCUGGUGAAGACAGCUUGCUGACUUUGUUAGGAUUCGCCUUUGAACAGGCUAGAGUGUGAGCAAAUUCGUUAAGGAUGUUGACGUA